AGCAGCCGCGGUAAUUCCAGCUCCAAUAGCGUAUAUUAAAGUUGCUGCAGUUAAAAAGCUCGUAGUUGAAUUUCGGGAUCAAUAUGUUGGUCGUGCCUUGGUACGUACUAGCUUAUUGGUUUCUCCCUUCUGACGAACCAUGAUGUCAUUAAUUUGGUGUCAUGUGGAAUCAGGACUGUUACUUUGAAAAAAUUAGAGUGUUUAAAGCAGGCUCACGCUUGAAUACAUUAGCAUGGAAUAAUGGAAUAGGACGUUUGAUUCUAUUUUGUUGGUUUCUAGGAUCGACGUAAUGAUUAAUAGGGAUAGUUGGGGGCAUUAGUAUUCAAUUGUCAGAGGUGAAAUUCUUGGAUUUAUUGAAGACUAACUACUGCGAAAGCAUUUGCCAAGGAUGUUUUCAUUAAUCAAGAACGAAAGUUAGGGGAUCGAAGACGAUCAGAUACCGUCGUAGUCUUAACCAUAAACUAUGCCGACUAGGGAUCGGAUGAUGUUAAUUUUUUAAUGACUCAUUCGGCGCCUUACG
This 520-nucleotide ribosomal RNA is filed under the name uncultured Glomus. RNAcentral's name for it is "SSU rRNA". It matches the Rfam family "Eukaryotic small subunit ribosomal RNA", at positions 569 to 1092 of the family's 1831-position model. The record is from RNAcentral. Lineage: Eukaryota; Fungi; Glomeromycota; Glomeromycetes; Glomerales; Glomeraceae.